GUGCUUUCUUCAGCAGUGCAUGUACUAUAAUUGGAAUGAUGUAGAGCAGAUUAGCAUGGCACUCCUGCACAAGGAUGACACUCAAAUUUGUGAAGUUUUCCAUGUUAAA
This is a small nuclear RNA of Panthera pardus (leopard), 109 nucleotides long. The record is from Ensembl. NCBI's taxonomy places the organism in Eukaryota, Metazoa, Chordata, Mammalia, Carnivora, Felidae.